Long non-coding RNA from Sinocyclocheilus rhinocerous, 756 nucleotides. RefSeq lists it as uncharacterized. The transcript is spliced from 3 exons. NCBI's taxonomy places the organism in Eukaryota, Metazoa, Chordata, Actinopteri, Cypriniformes, Cyprinidae. The record is from RefSeq and is a predicted model, not a curated record.
GCGUAAGUGAGGAAACGGAUAUACGCAACGUAGCGGAAGAAAAUGUAUACAAUGGCAAUUUGGAAAUCAAUUAAGUUAUGAAAAAAAGAGCAUUAAUUGCCUUUCUUUGUGGUCGAUGUGUUAUGGAAUGGCGGACUGUGAGCAGUAGCGCCCCGUCAGACGCCGCUGUUUUGCCUCGACGGGAACCGUUAUUUGACGUGUCAGGCAGAAAGAGCAGUGCUUUUAAAGGAUACUUUGGAGAAUGAGUUGAUUGUUUUCGAGGGAAUCCAGAGGAGGUUGCAAAUAAAAAGGCUAACUGGAAGAUGCCAAGAAGAAAACAACAGAAUCCACAACCAGUCAAGUGUGUCAAACAAGCUGACUGGUAGAUUCUUCUGAUGAUUUUAUAUGCUGUGUAUCCAGUGUCCUUUAUUUAAAAAGUUGUAAUGUGACUAACAAAAGUAGGAGUUAUUUCUGUGUUUGUGAUUACGAAGAAAAGCUGAAUUUUGCUGGUAAUUCAUUUUAAUAUUCAGCAAUUUUAAGAUUUUCAGUUGAAUGUGGUAAAUAACUGUCAUGGUAACUGAAUGAAUAAUAUUUUACGUGCUGUAAACAUAGCCUGCUUCAAAAGUAUUGGUUGUGUCAUUGUUUCUGCUUUCUUUUUAAAAAGUUGUGAUUAUUUUCAGUCUCGUCCAGCAGAUGGCAGUAAAAUUACAGUAAAGCCAGAGCCUGUUACUGGCCAAGUCGAUGCUGCUAGAUUUGCUAUUUCUUUAACUUAUUUUU